AAAGACGGUCUUGCUGUCACUUAUAGAUGGAUCCGCGCUGCAUUAGCUAGUUGGUAAGGUAACGGCUUACCAAGGCAACGAUGCAUAGCCGACCUGAGAGGGUGAUCGGCCACACUGGAACUGAGACACGGUCCAGACUCCUACGGGAGGCAGCAGUAGGGAAUCUUCCGCAAUGGGCGAAAGCCUGACGGAGCAACGCCGCGUGAGUGAUGAAGGUCUUCGGAUCGUAAAACUCUGUUAUUAGGGAAGAACAUAUGUGUAAGUAACUGUGCACAUCUUGACGGUACCUAAUCAGAAAGCCACGGCUAACUACGUGCCAGCAGCCGCGGUAAUACGUAGGUGGCAAGCGUUAUCCGGAAUUAUUGGGCGUAAAGCGCGCGUAGGCGGUUUUUUAAGUCUGAUGUGAAAGCCCACGGCUCAACCGUGGAGGGUCAUUGGAAACUGGAAAACUUGAGUGCAGAAGAGGAAAGUGGAAUUCCAUGUGUAGCGGUGAAAUGCGCAGAGAUAUGGAGGAACACCAGUGGCGAAGGCGACUUUCUGGUCUGUAACUGACGCUGAUGUGCGAAAGCGUGGGGAUCAAACAGGAUUAGAUACCCUGGUAGUCCACGCCGUAAACGAUGAGUGCUAAGUGUUAGGGGGUUUCCGCCCCUUAGUGCUGCAGCUAACGCAUUAAGCA
Molecule: ribosomal RNA, 676 nt
Filed under: Staphylococcus aureus
Lineage: Bacteria; Bacillati; Bacillota; Bacilli; Caryophanales; Staphylococcaceae
Description: bacterial SSU rRNA
Rfam family: Bacterial small subunit ribosomal RNA
Source: RNAcentral